This 465-nucleotide ribosomal RNA is filed under the name uncultured bacterium. Its description in RNAcentral is "partial 16S ribosomal RNA". It matches the Rfam family "Bacterial small subunit ribosomal RNA", at positions 28 to 507 of the family's 1533-position model. The record is from RNAcentral.
GACGAACGCUGGCGGCGUGCUUAACACAUGCAAGUCGAACGGAAAGGCCCCUUUGGGGGUACUCGAGUGGCGAACGGGUGAGUAACACGUGAGUAACCUGCCCUGGACUUCGGGAUAACUUCAGGAAACUGGGGCUAAUACCGGAUAGGAAUCCUUGCUGCAUGGUGGGGGUUGGAAAGCUUCGGCGGUUUUGGAUGGACUCGCGGCUUAUCAGCUUGUUGGUGGGGUAGUGGCUUACCAAGGCUUUGACGGGUAGCCGGCCUGAGAGGGCGACCGGCCACAUUGGGACUGAGAUACGGCCCAGACUCCGACGGGAGGCAGCAGUGGGGAAUAUUGCACAAUGGGCGGAAGCCUGAUGCAGCAACGCCGCGUGCGGGAUGACGGCCUUCGGGUUGUAAACCGCUUUCAGCAGGGGCGAAGCUUGUGGUGACGGUACCUGCAGAAGAAGCACCGGCUAACUACGUG